UACGGGGGGAGCGAGCAUUAUUCAAAAUGAUUAGGCGUAAAGAGUUUGUAGGUUGUUUUAUAAGUUGAAAAAAAAAAAAUAAAGCUCAACUUUAUACAUUUUUUCAAAACUAUUAAACUAGAGUAUAAAUAGAAGAUAAUAGAAUUUCUAUUGUAGGGAUAAAAUCUGUUGAUAAUAGAAAGAAUACCUAAAGCGAAAGCUUUUAUCUAGGUAUAUACUGACAUUGAGAAACGAAAGCUUGGGUAGCGAACGGG
RNAcentral lists this ribosomal RNA (254 nucleotides) under uncultured bacterium. Its description in RNAcentral is "partial 16S ribosomal RNA". It matches the Rfam family "Bacterial small subunit ribosomal RNA", at positions 524 to 776 of the family's 1533-position model. The record is from RNAcentral.